RNAcentral lists this small RNA (27 nucleotides) under Bombyx mori (domestic silkworm). RNAcentral describes it as "ovarian small RNA-26433". Lineage: Eukaryota; Metazoa; Arthropoda; Insecta; Lepidoptera; Bombycidae. The record is from RNAcentral.
UCCAAAACGAGUGGCAACGAGCGAGGU